Molecule: ribosomal RNA, 34 nt
Filed under: Heterorhabditis zealandica
Lineage: Eukaryota; Metazoa; Nematoda; Chromadorea; Rhabditida; Heterorhabditidae
Description: partial 18S ribosomal RNA
Source: RNAcentral
GUUUCCGUAGGUGAACCUGCAGAUGGAUCAUCGC